GUGCUCACUUCGGCAGCACAUAUACUAAAACUGGAACGAUACAGAGAAGAUUAGCAUGGCCCCUGUGCAAGGAUGACACACAAAUUCAUGAAGUGUUCCAUAUUUUU
Molecule: small nuclear RNA, 107 nt
Filed under: Marmota monax (woodchuck)
Lineage: Eukaryota; Metazoa; Chordata; Mammalia; Rodentia; Sciuridae
Source: RNAcentral